Non-coding RNA from Acanthosepion pharaonis, 115 nucleotides. NCBI's taxonomy places the organism in Eukaryota, Metazoa, Mollusca, Cephalopoda, Sepiida, Sepiidae. The record is from the annotation of a GenBank genome assembly.
UUACGACCACAUCACGUUUAAACACCGGUUUCUCGUACGAUUACCGAAGUUAAGCAACGUCGAGCUAGGUCAGUACCUAGAAGGGUAAUCACUUGAGAAUACCAGGCGCUGUAAG